AUGUUAUUGCUCCAGUGUGCUCACAUAAACCAGGAUGAAACAGCUGACACAUCACUCUGUGACAUCAGCUCACACCCACGUUUUUUCUCACUUUUAUAUCUAUGGGAAUGUCUGCUGGCUCCUGUGACAGUGUUUUCUAAUUCAAGCAGAAAACUUGAAAUGGGAAAAAAAAGAUGCAAAGAUAUUAAGUUGUCGUGUUUACGUCUCAUGAAAAAUGCAUUUAGUUUGGAAACUUUCUUCAUGUAUUCAGUUCUGUGUCUCUUACAGAAAGACCCGCAGGUAGAUGUGAUCCCAACAAUGACUUCAGUAGUAAACAUCUUCCAAUACAUAGUUCCCAUAUUGGCGGUGUCCAUUGCUGCUGUGCUCCUCUGCUUCUACUUACAUACAAAAAAGAAACGAUCAUCAUAUGACGUCUCCACUCCAUCACAGGAGGACACCCCAUCAGUGCUAAGGACUGUUUCUUUGUCUGAAGAUCAAGCAGCUGUGGACAGAUGUUAUGAUGGAGUCCCUCCUCGCUACAGCACUGUGGAGGCCCCACCACCAUACUCACUGUUUGACCCAAAGUUGACAAAUGUUUGGCCUGGUGGUCCAUCUCCAGCCUUUGAGAUGUAUCCCAUCACGCUGCCACUGGCUCCACACUUCUGGAGCCCAGCUCGAGCUUCUCCGGAGCCAACCUCAGUCUUCAACCACAUCCACCGUCCUCAGAGGCCCCGUAGGGCCUCCUCCACCUGAAACUCACAUGUGCCUUUACCUGCUUUACGUUUGUGUAAUUUAGGAUCACUAUAUACUGUAUGUUGGACAUCAUUUUUCUUCAUAACUGUAGACAGAAAACCUGAAAUUUAAUAAAUUAAACUUGAAC
RNAcentral lists this long non-coding RNA (859 nucleotides) under Gouania willdenowi (blunt-snouted clingfish). Its description in RNAcentral is "lncRNA (ENSGWIG00000016758.1)". The record is from RNAcentral. Lineage: Eukaryota; Metazoa; Chordata; Actinopteri; Blenniiformes; Gobiesocidae.